RNAcentral lists this ribosomal RNA (497 nucleotides) under uncultured bacterium. RNAcentral describes it as "partial 16S ribosomal RNA". It matches the Rfam family "Bacterial small subunit ribosomal RNA", at positions 28 to 507 of the family's 1533-position model. The record is from RNAcentral.
GAUGAACGCUGGCGGCGUGCCUAAUACAUGCAAGUCGAGCGAACGGACGAGAAGCUUGCUUCUCUGAUGUUAGCGGCGGACGGGUGAGUAACACGUGGAUAACCUACCUAUAAGACUGGGAUAACUUCGGGAAACCGUAGCUAAUACCGGAUAAUAUUUUGAACCGCAUGGUUCAAAAGUGAAAGACGGUCUUGCUGUCACUUAUAGAUGGAUCCGCGCUGCAUUAGCUAGUUGGUAAGGUAACGGCUUACCAAGGCAACGAUGCAUAGCCGACCUGAGAGGGUGAUCGGCCACACUGGAAGUGAGACACGGUCCAGACUCCUACGGGAGGCAGCAGUAGGGAAUCUUCCGCAAUGGGCGAAAGCCUGACGGAGCAACGCCGCGUGAGUGAUGAAGGUCUUCGGAGCGUAAAACUCUGUUAUUAGGGAAGAACAUAUGUGUAAGUAACUGUGCACAUCUUGACGGUACCUAAUCAGAAAGCCACGGCUAACUACGUG